UCGGGUAUGGCGUACCGUUCAGAAACUGGUGGCCGGUACACCGUAUCCCCGCCCACACUAUAGCCACCGUUAGCGGCUAUUAAUGUCAAACUGCGGCCGCACCUCUAACUUCCGGGCUUGCUCGGCGGCACUGGCACAUGCGGAACCUCCUCUAUCUUCCACGCCGCGGGAAGUGUGAUGAUGAUGAUGUAAUCACACUCCCAUUGCUGGCGUGCCUGGCGAGCUGGGGACCCUGGAGGCUGGAUGGCAUUGGGGCUUCUCUCUGCUUUUUGGUUUCCCCAGCCUCUCUCCCUUUCCAGCAGGUGGGCGCUGCAGCAAGCAACAUUCUCCAUGUGCUGGUAUAAAACAGUGACAGCGGCCUGGGGCAACCUUUUUUUUAUGAGGCCUGUGCAGAUGUUUGGGAUGGAUGCACAAUAGCAAUUUGCAUACUCUGCUUGACACAGAAAUUUACUGUAAUUGCCAAGGAAAUUGGGUUCAUUCCGAUGCUUCUCAGAAAUGACAGCUCUGUACAGG
Long non-coding RNA from Pseudophryne corroboree (corroboree frog), 513 nucleotides. RefSeq lists it as uncharacterized. The transcript is spliced from 3 exons. NCBI's taxonomy places the organism in Eukaryota, Metazoa, Chordata, Amphibia, Anura, Myobatrachidae. The record is from RefSeq and is a predicted model, not a curated record.